CUCUCUCAUCCAACCUCGAAUCGAGUUGAUUCCAAAAGGGAUUUUGCUGGGCCUGAGCUAUAUUACAACUUUGUAGAAGACAUCGAGGGGAAAUAACCAACGUGGUAGCCGCUACAAGUCGAAGAACACGAUGCAGUCGAGCUGGAAAUCACCUCCUUUCCCCACCGUCGUUCUCCCUCCUCCGGCCACCUUUUGCCGUGAUUCUUGAGAGGAUUCUGCACUUCUGAGGAUGUAGAUCAUUUCCCCUAAGGUGGAUUGCAUCGAUUUCAUCUGUGGAGAUCGAAUUGGAACGAAUUCAAAACUAGGGUUCUUCGGGUUUCAAACCUUAUAAGGUGAUUGACGGUCUCCCUUGGGUGAACGAUUUCGGUGUGUAUUGUGUUGAAUUGAAGACGCAGCGGGAAUAUCGAGCGGGUAAUCCUGCAGGUCAGGAGAAUCAGGACGGUGAUCGUGCGGGUUAGAGAAUUUGUUUUAGUUUUACAGCAAUUGUAAUUGUGAGGUGAGUUAUGCUCAUUUGAGCCUUACAAUAUAAUUUGGUAAAGUGUGCUGUAAUAAACAAAUUUGAGAUUUGGUUUAUGUAAUAUCGAGCGA
Rosa rugosa (rugosa rose) is the source of this 588-nucleotide long non-coding RNA. RefSeq lists it as uncharacterized. The transcript has 3 exons. The record is from RefSeq and is a predicted model, not a curated record. NCBI's taxonomy places the organism in Eukaryota, Viridiplantae, Streptophyta, Magnoliopsida, Rosales, Rosaceae.